AAUUUAAAUAGUUUAAUAAAAAUUUUAAUUUGUGGAAUUAAAGAUAAACUUAGUUUUUUAA
This 61-nucleotide transfer RNA is filed under the name Triaenodes tardus. RNAcentral's name for it is "tRNA-His". Lineage: Eukaryota; Metazoa; Arthropoda; Insecta; Trichoptera; Leptoceridae. The record is from RNAcentral.